Molecule: ribosomal RNA, 406 nt
Filed under: uncultured bacterium
Lineage: Bacteria
Description: partial 16S ribosomal RNA
Rfam family: Bacterial small subunit ribosomal RNA
Source: RNAcentral
AUUGAACGCUGGCGGCAGGCCUAACACAUGCAAGUCGAGCGAGCGGCGGACGGGUGAGUAAUGUCUGGGCAACUGCCUGAUGGAGGGGGAUAACUACUGGAAACGGUAGCUAAUACCGCAUACCAUCAGAUGUGCCCAGAUGGGAUUAGCUAGUAGGUGGGGGAACGGCUCACCUAGGCGACGAUCCCUAGCCGGUCUGAGAGGAUGGCCAGCCACAAGGGAACUGAGAAACGGUCCAGACUCCUACGGGAGGCAGCAGUGGGGAAUAUUGCACAAGGGGCGCAAGCCUGAUGCAGCCAUGCCGCGUGGGUGAAGAAGGCCUUAGGGUUGUAAAGCACUUUCAGCGGGGAGGCGUUACCCGCAGAAGAAGCACCGGCUAACUCCGUGCCAGCAGCCGCGGUAAUAC